GCAAGUCGAACGGCAGCGGGGGCUUCGGCCUGCCGGCGAGUGGCGAACGGGUGAGUAAUGCAUCGGAACGUACCCAGUCGUGGGGGAUAACUACGCGAAAGCGUAGCUAAUACCGCAUACGCCCUGAGGGGGAAAGCGGGGGACCUUCGGGCCUCGCGCGAUUGGAGCGGCUGAUGUCGGAUUAGCUAGUUGGUGGGGUAAAGGCCUACCAAGGCGACGGUCCGUAGCUGGUCUGAGAGGAUGAUCAGCCACACUGGGACUGAGACACGGCCCAGACUCCUACGGGAGGCAGCAGUGGGGAAUUUUGGACAAUGGGCGCAAGCCUGAUCCAGCCAUGCCGCGUGAGUGAAGAAGGCCUUCGGGUUGUAAAGCUCUUUCAGACGGAAAGAAAUCGGGUGCGUGAAUAGCGUGCCUGGAUGACGGUACUGUCAGAAGAAGCACCGGCUAACUACGUGCCAGCCGCCGCGGUAAU
RNAcentral lists this ribosomal RNA (472 nucleotides) under uncultured bacterium. Its description in RNAcentral is "bacterial SSU rRNA". It matches the Rfam family "Bacterial small subunit ribosomal RNA", at positions 57 to 524 of the family's 1533-position model. The record is from RNAcentral.